RNAcentral lists this ribosomal RNA (378 nucleotides) under uncultured eukaryote. RNAcentral describes it as "partial 18S ribosomal RNA". It matches the Rfam family "Eukaryotic small subunit ribosomal RNA", at positions 592 to 975 of the family's 1831-position model. The record is from RNAcentral.
CAAUAGCGUAUAUUUAAGUUGUUGCAGUUAAAAAGCUCGUAGUUGGAUUUCGGAUGGGACUUGCCGGUCCGUCGUUUCGAUGUGCACUGGCCAGUCCUAUCUUGUUGUCGGGGACUAGCUCCUGGGCUUCACUGUCCGGGACUAGGAGCUGACGAGGUUACUUUGAGUAAAUUAGAGUGUUCAAAGCAAGCCUACGCUCUGAAUACAUUAGCAUGGAAUAACACGAUAGGACUCUGGCUUAUCUUGUUGGUCUGUGAGACCAGAGUAAUGAUUAAGAGGGACAGUCGGGGGCAUUCGUAUUUCAUUGUCAGAGGUGAAAUUCUUGGAUUUAUGAAAGACGAACCUCUGCGAAAGCAUUUGUCAAGGAUGUUUUCAUUA